This is a small RNA of 89 nucleotides. It matches the Rfam family "Flavo-1 RNA".
UCCUAGCCCUGAUGGGAGGGAAAAUCCUUUUGUUCCGGUCCCGAGGCUUCGGGAGCCACAAAAGAUUGGGAAGGACAGCAGGAAUAGCU